Molecule: ribosomal RNA, 518 nt
Filed under: uncultured bacterium
Lineage: Bacteria
Description: partial 16S ribosomal RNA
Rfam family: Bacterial small subunit ribosomal RNA
Source: RNAcentral
GACGAACGCUGGCGGCGUGCAUAACACAUGCAAGUGGAGCGACCGGUGACACCUUUCGGUUUCAACUUAAACCGGGAGCCGCGAACGGGUGCGUAACACGUGGGCACUCUGCCCCGUCGAUUGGGAUAGCCCGGGGAAACCCGGAUUAAUACCGAAUGCGUUCGCCUCCCUGAGGGGAGGUGAGGAAAGGAAGCUUCGGCCACCGCGAUGGAGUGAGCUCGCGACCGAUUAGCUUGUUGGUAAGGUAACGGCUUACCAAGGCGACGAUCGGUAGCUGGUCUGACAGGACGAUCAGGCACACUGGGACUGAGACACGGCCCAGACUCCUACGGGAGGCUGCAGUGGGGAAUCUUGCGCAAUGAGCGAAAGCUUGACGCAGCAACGCCGCGUGAGGGAAGACGGCCUUCGGGUUGUAAACCUCUUUCAGGGAAGAGUAAGGCUCGUGAGUUAAAAGCUCACCGGGUUGAAAGUAUUCCCAGAAGAAGCACCGGCUAACUACGUGCCAGCCGCCGCAGUAA